CUUUUCUAAGAAAAAUUAGGGCAAAAUCAAAAUUUACAAGAACUUAAAUUCCUAAAACGAAAUUUACAAGAAAAAACAUUCCUAAAUUACCCUCAGUGAAAUUUUGGUCCAGGAGGCGAGGGCGUCCCUUUCCAAUCCCUCGGAAACCUCACCACGAAGGUCUAUCCGCAAACUAGCUCCCCGAAAUAGUAAUAAUUUGGCUCCAUAACUUAGCACAAUUCUUUAUGUGGGCGGCCACCACAUAAAGAAAACUAAAAAUACAAGACAUGGAAAAGGGAAUAAUAUAGGCUCUGCUAUCAUCUGUUAUUGUAAUCAAAUGAAGAAAAUCCUUCUUCUAUAUAGAGCCAAUUCCCAAAAUUUACUUCGUUUUCAAUUAAAAAUAAAUAAAAAUUCUUCUAGAACAGGUAAAAGAAACUAUCAAUUCAUCAUAUGCAAAACAUAAUAUCACAAGAAAGCUUCUCGAUUAGUACAAUUCACCUCAAACUAUUCCUUACUUGCGUUAAAAUUUCUCUUUACCCUUUUAAGUUUUCGUAUUCUAAUAUAUAAGAGUAAAGUAGACAUGAAUUGUACCGUAAAAUCAAGUGGGUGGCGCCACCAGGGAGGAGAGGCUUUUGGGCUGCAUUUUUGUGGGCAAGUGAGUAAAGCAGAGUUAUUACUCAUAUGUUGCCCAUUUUUUCAAAAAUUCGGAGCGCGUUUGGUUUUAAAAAAUUCAUAUUGCGUUUGGUUUGCCAAGGUGAUU
RNAcentral lists this long non-coding RNA (739 nucleotides) under Olea europaea (common olive). Its description in RNAcentral is "long non-coding RNA (OEUR_LNC014636)". The record is from RNAcentral. Lineage: Eukaryota; Viridiplantae; Streptophyta; Magnoliopsida; Lamiales; Oleaceae.